AGAAUCAACGCUGGCGGCGUGCCUCAGACAUGCAAGUCGAACGCGAAAGUCCCCUUCGGGGACAAGUAGAGUGGCGCACGGGUGAGUAACACGUAGGUAAUCUACCUUCGGAUGGGGAAUAACAAUCGGAAACGGUUGCUAAUACCGCAUAAUGCAGCGGCACCUAAUGGUGGCAGUUGUUAAAGCGGGGGAUCGAAAGACCUCGCGUCUGAAGAGGAGCCUGCGGCGGAUUAGCUAGUUGGUAAGGUAAUGGCUUACCAAGGCUACGAUCC
This 272-nucleotide ribosomal RNA is filed under the name uncultured soil bacterium. RNAcentral's name for it is "partial 16S ribosomal RNA". It matches the Rfam family "Bacterial small subunit ribosomal RNA", at positions 26 to 282 of the family's 1533-position model. The record is from RNAcentral.